Molecule: unclassified non-coding RNA, 282 nt
Filed under: plant metagenome
Description: partial contains small subunit ribosomal RNA, internal transcribed spacer 1, and 5.8S ribosomal RNA
Source: RNAcentral
UUUCUGUAGGUGAACCUGCGGAAGGAUCAUUGUCGAAACCUGCCCAGCAGAACGACCCGCGAACUUGUAUAAACAACCGGGGGCGGGGGGCGUUCUCGCCCCGUGCCCCCGAACGGCGGGGAGACACUCGUGCCUUCUUGCCGAACAACGAACCCCGGCGCGGCCUGCGCCAAGGAACUUCAACUAAAGAGUGCCUCCGGUCGCCUCGGAAACGGCGUGCGUGCUGGGGGCGAAGCUUGUGCAAAACCAUAACGACUCUCGGCAACGGAUAUCUCGGCUCUC